RNAcentral lists this long non-coding RNA (245 nucleotides) under Lathyrus oleraceus (garden pea). RNAcentral describes it as "Pisum sativum (pea) long non-coding RNA (PSAT_LNC029493)". Lineage: Eukaryota; Viridiplantae; Streptophyta; Magnoliopsida; Fabales; Fabaceae. The record is from RNAcentral.
UUAGAACUAUUUGUACUUUGCCUAUGGUGAAUACAACCCAAAAUAAUCUUGAACCAAACUCUUAGAUUCCUUGUUAAGUCCUUAGCACUAGGACCUUUUUCAUCAGCAAAGUUGGUUUCUUCCUUGAAGAUAAUAGGAGAGAUGACAACUUCUCUCUUAGCGAUGAUCUUAGCACUGUGAAUCCUUUUCCCUUUACCAUCAUGAGCAAUGAUAUCAGCUAUGGAUUUCUCAUUAAUGACAAUUUC